CUUGGCUCCCUUAAUGAUGUAAUAAUAGCUCACAGGUGCGCUGCGGGGAGCAAACAGGUACGUGGUGAGCGUCCACACAGACAAAAGGCGGCUCAUCACGCUGGAGGGUUUAAGACCCGCCCUGCUGCCUCGGGACCUUCUAAAAGUGAGCAGAGGGGGAGCAGAGGUGUCCAGAACAGUAAGCAACGCCCCUCUGGCCAGCCAGUGGCUGUCGGACCGGCUGCGUCCCCAGGCCCGCCCCCCCCCCGCGUUGCCAUGGUGACAGUGGCGUUCCCAGGCUGCGCUCCCUUCCUGCUGGCUCUGGACAGGAGGGUUUGUCAGGCUGUGUCUCCUGUGGCUGCUGGACGGGCGCAGAAGAAAGGGGGCCCUGAGAGCCGAACAGGGAGCUGACCAUCCGGACUGCCAGGCUGGCUCCUGACCACCCCCGGUGCCCACAGGGAGGAGGCCGGUGGUGUCCUGCUCCUGGGUGACCCUCUGGGGCCUCCUCCAGGAAGCCGUCCUGUGGGCAGAGUGCCACGGGGAACCUUGGCUCUGCCUGUUGGUGUUUGUCAUGAUCUUGCUCUCCAGGGGAUGGUGGUAGACACUUGUGUCAGAACCGUUUGAAAGAAGACUUGCUGACCUCACAGUGGAGCACUUGGCGGCCAGGCCCUUCACCCGUGGUCGUGAGGGUGUCAUGGCAGGUCCUGCCCCGCCUUGGGCAGGUGCCCCUGCAGUUGUUUUGUGUGUACAGAUGAUCCCUGGUUCCUGCGCCUUCACCAGCUUCUCCACCAACAGCCAGCUCUGUGUGAAGCUGGCAGAGUGCCAUCAACAGCCAGAUUCCACGGGUGUCGGUCUGGGCUGCCACACGGUGUUCAGUAAAUAUUGAAUUUCAGCGUCAUCUGUGCCCAGAAUUCUGCUGAAAGACAGCAGAGAGAAUUAGGUUCUCUCGAUAAGUUUUUU
This 939-nucleotide long non-coding RNA is filed under the name Equus asinus (donkey). RNAcentral's name for it is "lncRNA (ENSEASG00005038194.1)". Lineage: Eukaryota; Metazoa; Chordata; Mammalia; Perissodactyla; Equidae. The record is from RNAcentral.